CGUGUGCUAAUAUACUCAAGUUAUUGUCUGGGAACAAAGAUGUUUCCGAUGCCGACACUGACAUCGCCAUAACAUAAUACGAGCGCAAAUUUUGUUUACAGUCGUAUACAGGACCGUAACUGGGGUUCGAAUCUAGGGGAGGCAGGGGUUUGGGGGCCGCCGAUUUUUUUCUCUCAGUAAAAUGGAUAAAAAUGACCCGUUUUCCUUCGAUUUCCUUACUUUAAGAAAACAACCUGUAUGAAAUAUUUAUGCAAAAACAAGCUGAGAUUGCUGUUCGACGUGAGCCAAUGCUUCGUCUUGAAGACCGUACUUUGACCUAUAAUUAUUAACAUUAAAUACAUUGUGAUCGCGGAUUUUUUUUCUCUUAAUAAAAUCAGUGGCUAAAAAUGACC
Molecule: long non-coding RNA, 392 nt
Filed under: Mytilus galloprovincialis (Mediterranean mussel)
Lineage: Eukaryota; Metazoa; Mollusca; Bivalvia; Mytilida; Mytilidae
Source: RNAcentral